GACGAACGCUGGCGGCGUGCUUAACACAUGCAAGUCGAGCGGUAAGGCCCUUUCGGGGGUACGACGAGCGGCGAACGGGUGAGUAACACGUGGGUGACCUGCCCUCAGCUCUGGGAUAAGCCUGGGAAACUGGGUCUAAUACUGGAUAUGACUCCACGGUGCAUGUCGUGGGGUGGAAAGCCUUGUGCGGCUGAGGAUGGGCCCGCGGCCUAUCAGCUUGUUGGUGGGGGAUGGCCUACCAAGGCGACGACGGGUAGCCGGCCUGAGAGGGCGACCGGCCACACUGGGACUGAGACACGGCCCAGACUCCUACGGGAGGCAGCAGUGGGGAAUCUUGCGCAAUGGGCGAAAGCCUGACGCAGCGACGCCGCGUGCAGGAAGAAGGCCCUAUGGGUCGUAAACUGCUUUUGAACAAGAGAAAACCCUUCUACGUGUAGAAGGCUGAUAGUAUUGUUAGAAUAAGCAUCGGCUAACUUCGUGCCAGCAGCCGCCGUAAG
This 497-nucleotide ribosomal RNA is filed under the name uncultured bacterium. Its description in RNAcentral is "bacterial SSU rRNA". It matches the Rfam family "Bacterial small subunit ribosomal RNA", at positions 28 to 524 of the family's 1533-position model. The record is from RNAcentral.